This is a long non-coding RNA of Alligator sinensis (Chinese alligator), 1342 nucleotides long. RefSeq lists it as uncharacterized. NCBI's taxonomy places the organism in Eukaryota, Metazoa, Chordata, Crocodylia, Alligatoridae. The transcript has 4 exons. The record is from RefSeq and is a predicted model, not a curated record.
CGGAGGGAGAGGGCGUCCGUCCCAUGGGACCGGGACUUCCCUGCUGUGAUAGAAGCCGGACGCGAGGGGAUCGCCUUCAGACCUCAGGUAUAUGCAAGCGAAUGGCACAGUAUUUGACUUUGCACUCCUAAAUGUCUCGCACAGUGAAUCUUACAAAGUUGAGAAACAACACAUUUCAGCUGAGAUUAAAGCUGUGGCAUUGAUAUAAAGAUUACUUUCCUUCCUCCUCUGAAGACUUCUAUAGAAUGCAAUCGGUAUUUUUAGCUGGCUGGCAGUGGCAAGAUCUAAAAUGUAGACAAAAUGUAUUUGAAGAGCUACAGCUGUUCCCAUGUAGACAGUGUGGCAGGUAAUGUUGGUAUAAAUUGAGGCAUAGUUGUUAAACUGAUGGCUAUGGUUUGUGGAAUCCCCUGUGGAUCUUGGUUUCAGUGAAGUAUGUUUAGGAAGGGAUUUGAGCUAAAUCAAAAAAGAAAAUUAUCUUUUUAUAUACUGUCUGCAUAGAAGAGUAUACCAGUAUACUUUCUCCAUGUAGAUGAGAUUUCUAUGGUGAACUUCUUAGAGACCGAAUGCACUAUCGGUACACUCCGUUGGGGGCCAGGUAGUGUUUGUUUUCAAAACUGAUGGCAUCAGAUUCCUAUCUGUGUGUUCAGAUACAUUUUUAAAAAUAGGCUUGUGCUGUGGCUUGCAUUCAAGUCUGUUAUUUUUAACCCUCUUAGUUUCUUGAAUAAAAUCAAGUUGGAGAAAUGUUGAUACAGUUUGGGAAAAUAGUUCUAUAUGGGAUCUUAUGGUCCCCAUAAUAGGAGUUAUGUACUGCAGAACACCUGGACAAUCUCCUGGGCAAGAAAAGGAAGACGGAGGAAGUAUUAAGAGACCUCAUGUCAGCCACUUGGAAAACCUCAAGGAAGAUGGAAAACUUGGUAGGGGAUGCUUGCAGAGGAGAGGGACUGCUACUAAGGAAGACCUCAAGCUGAUGGGCAGCUCUUAAAAAGGACUUUGACUUGACUUGCCCCUGUUUGCACUAGCUAGGAAUUCCUUGAACAGCUUUGCUGGUGAGCACAUAAUUGCAGUGUUGCCACAGGGUGCUGAGACAUUAAGCCCUGUGCUCUAACUCCUGGUGCUCUACAUAGUGCCAUGAGUUAGAGCACCCCUCUGGCCCUCCCCACCCAACAGACUUUUUCCUGUUGGGUAGGGGAGGGUGGGGGAUCAAGUUUGCCUAGCUGGCUGAGGAGCCAGUACCCCAGCCAAGGAGGGCUGUGGGGAGACUGCAAGGCAGGGGUGGGGGGGCUCCAAUCCAUUCCCCCCCCUUCCCCCCCCUCCUCCCCCCACCUCCAACUCAGGCCAGGCA